AUUGGGGUGGCAGAGCCAGGUAUAAAUGCAAAAGGCCUAAACCCUUUACCCAGGGGUUCAAUCCCCCUUCCCAAUAAUU
This 79-nucleotide transfer RNA is filed under the name Centrochelys sulcata (African spurred tortoise). RNAcentral describes it as "tRNA-Leu". It matches the Rfam family "tRNA". From Rfam's summary of the family: Transfer RNA (tRNA) molecules are approximately 80 nucleotides in length. Their secondary structure includes four short double-helical elements and three loops (D, anti-codon, and T loops). Further hydrogen bonds mediate the characteristic L-shaped molecular structure. tRNAs have two regions of fundamental functional importance: the anti-codon, which is responsible for specific mRNA codon recognition, and the 3' end, to which the tRNAs corresponding amino acid is attached (by aminoacyl-tRNA synthetases). tRNAs cope with the degeneracy of the genetic code in two manners: having more than one tRNA (with a specific anti-codon) for a particular amino acid; and 'wobble' base-pairing, i.e. permitting non-standard base-pairing at the 3rd anti-codon position. Lineage: Eukaryota; Metazoa; Chordata; Testudines; Testudinidae. The record is from RNAcentral.